RNAcentral lists this long non-coding RNA (212 nucleotides) under Homo sapiens (human). RNAcentral's name for it is "non-protein coding lnc-MAP3K11-1:2". Lineage: Eukaryota; Metazoa; Chordata; Mammalia; Primates; Hominidae. The record is from RNAcentral.
UCCAGGUGACAGUGCGGGACCCAUCAGGCAGGCCCCUCCGCCUGCCGCCUGUCCUUUCUCAUCCCAUCUUUGACAAUACGAUCGUCACCGGAUUGAGGAGAAACGUAAAAGGACAUAUGAGACCUUCAAGAGCAUCAUGAAGAAGAGUCCUUUCAGCGACCCACCGACCCCCGGCCUCCACCUCGACGCAUUGCUGUGCCUUCCCGCAGCUC